This 178-nucleotide small RNA is filed under the name Leclercia adecarboxylata. RNAcentral's name for it is "Gammaproteobacterial sRNA STnc100". It matches the Rfam family "Gammaproteobacterial sRNA STnc100", at positions 19 to 200 of the family's 206-position model. Lineage: Bacteria; Pseudomonadati; Pseudomonadota; Gammaproteobacteria; Enterobacterales; Enterobacteriaceae. The record is from RNAcentral.
AUUAGACUGUCUCAGUGGUGAAUCCCCCUAUGCGGCGGGGCAAACCAGUUAAAGUUAUCUAUAAAUAUGCUUGCGACUCGCAUAACUGGUAACGAGUCACCGGGAGGCACCCGGCACCACAAUCUACAUCUCAUCAGGAAAUAUCUAUUCUCAAGGCUGCCGGUUGGCGGCCUUUUUC